Long non-coding RNA from Oncorhynchus gorbuscha (pink salmon), 3142 nucleotides. RefSeq lists it as uncharacterized. The transcript is spliced from 4 exons. Lineage: Eukaryota; Metazoa; Chordata; Actinopteri; Salmoniformes; Salmonidae. The record is from RefSeq and is a predicted model, not a curated record.
GAGACGAUAUCAAACUGACAUCUGCACUCAUGGUAAGUGCUGAAGUUCUUGUGUCAAUAUGAGGCUGCAGGGGCUACCAUCUGUUUCAUGACCAGGCCUGAAAUGAUAAUUAAUAGGAUAAAAGGAAUGUUAAAGAAAUAGGCCCAUUAAAGGAUUAACUCUAUAGAAAUGCAAAAUACCUUGUUCUGAAUGGUCAAUUUCACUAACUUUAUGAUUGUAGUCCAUAGUCAUGUCCUUUUCUUUCUCUUUCUCCCGCCCAUCUCUCAUCUCUCUUCCUCAUCUCUGUCUUCCCCUUUCCCCCUUUCUCCAGCUGGACUAAGAAGCGUUGGGUAUUGCUGGUGAAGUCUUUGGAGAAGAAGAAGUGGGUCGUUGUGCGGCCUCUUCCCUUCUCCCAUGCAUACCCACAGCAGUAUGACGUAAGUCCCUCCCCCUUCUCUAUCCCUCCAUCACUCACUCUUUUCACCCUUCCCCUCUCUCAUACACAGUCACACCCACCUAAGUAUGAACUGAGUCACCCCUCUCUACUAAUUUUCUCCAUCCCUCCCUCCCCUCGGGGCCUGUUUUAAUCUCUCCAAUCAGGCAGUCAUUUCCAGCAGACCUCUCACAUGCUGAAUACAGCUGAUGUUGUUUACAGCUCUCCUCCUCUCGUCUUUACACCUAUAGGCAGCUUGGCCUUUGUUCCACGGUAGGUUAGCUAUUUGUCGUGCUACUAAAGGGUUUCUGUAAAGAAGGGCCAGUAUGUCAGCAUCCGUUUCAAUUGUGUUUUGACAUCCGAUUAUAAGGAUUGUCAAAUAAAAUCACAGGAAAGUAUACAAUCAGGACAGACAGUGCAAUAAUAAAGCAGUCUGCCUAGAUGUGUGUCCAUGUGAUGAAGCAGGAGAAGUGCCACUGACAUCGGGAACUGUUCCUUCGCCCACAUUCUGGAAGAAAGGGACGUCUGGACGUACAUGAAUAACAACAGCUUGAGGGACAUGCAGCAGAUGUUUGACAUGUGGCUCAGGCUGACCAGUCAGAAUAGACUCACUGAUGCAAGCCUUAUAGCCUCGCCUCUGGAGGAGAAAUUGGUUUCCCUGACGACAGAUUCCACUGAGCCACUGAGUCAUUGGAACGUAGAAAGGUGGAGAGUGAAAUAGGACAGAAAUUAGUCUGGCCAACACAACUCUCUCAACGUCUUGGUGGCGGGAUGUCACACGCUGUGGGGGUGGAAUCAUCUCAAGGACUUCAUCAAACUGAUACCAGUGGAUGUCGUCUCGAUAAGGCCAGUAAAAUCUGUUUGGUCCUACACAAUGCAUACAUUUCACUUGUACACAUGCCAUCCGUGCUGAGGAUGAUGCCUGGAUAAAGGUCAUCAAAUUCCACUACACACCACUGCCCAAGAACACCUGCAUUUCCCACACUGGAUUUCAUCCACAGGUUGUGGAUUUUCCUCAUUGGCUGGCUGUUCUGGAGCAGCGAGGACCUUCUUCCUGAAACUGAAGUGCUGUGUGUUACAGCAUGCACAGUUUAGGUCCUUAUUUGUUUAACAAAGGCUGCUGACAUCACGAAACAUCAGCUCACCAGGAGCAAAGGGUGAUGACCUGGUGUAGUCUCAUGGUGGAGGGUACCGCUUUUAUCGAGCUUGGCAUCAUCUCCAUCGCAUGUUCAACAUCUGGACUUUGUGGAGGAGUGGUCAAGUUCCUCAGUGUUCCUUUCCUCUCCUUGCUUCUUUUGUAUGCUCUUCUCCGUUUCUUUUCCCUGCUUCAACAUUUCUUUUCCUUCUCUGACGCUUUUUCUCAAGGUAUUGCUCCCUUUUUCUGACACUGCCUUUGUCUUUCUGCUGCUGAUGUGGGUGCCAUCAUUCCCUAGAUGGUUCAAUGGAUAACGUUAAAUCAAAGCUUCUUAGAAUAUAUACAUGUCUACACUAUAAUCCUUGAGUAAUUUAGGCUCUAGAGCGACUUAAAGGAACAACGGAAGUUAAGAGCCUUGCCCAACUCUCCUACCACUAGGCUACCUGCCUUUUAAAAUAUAUUUUUUGCUCACAUUGAACACAUUACAGCAUGUUUCAUAAGUGAAUGUAAACCAUGUAUAAUAUAUUGAUGAAUUCAUUUGUUUAGAUGCAGUAAGUAACUCAACCCUGUCACAGGUUUACAACCCUGUUACAAUGAAAUGUGAUGGUUUUUGGCUCAAAAUGGCCUCUGCUUCUCAUGUGAAGGACAGGAGACCACAUGGUGUGCAUGAAAUUAAUAGAUUGUAUAUUUUUAUGUGUUGAAAUAUAAUUUUGAUAGGUACUAGUUUUCCAUGUUUAUUUAAUGUAACGGGGUUGAGUUGUUCAGGUCGACGAUCCUCACCUGACUUUAAAAUAACAACAAAAUACAGAUAUAAAACAAUGUGAUUACUUGCCUCUUUCUGUACCAUGCAGUUGAAAAUUGUUGAAUGAUGUCAGUUCCUGUUAAUGAUGGCACUAGUGGACUGACUAUUUUUUAUAGGCAGAGUUUGGUAGGCGUUGAGUGUAGACUGACGGACAGACCGAAAUUGUGUGAUUUUAAUCAAUAAUCAUGCAUUUAUUUGAUAAAUACUUACUCAACAAAAGAACACAUAUGUUUGCAUUAAUGGCAAAAGUGAUUAAUUAUGUGCACAUUUUAAUAUUAAUUUCGGUUGGAUUGUGCCCAUAGGCAAUGUUGUUGCAUGUGAUGUCUGGUGAGGACCUGCCUUACAACAGACCUGCAAGCCCUCAGUCCAGCCUCUCUCAGACUAUUGCGGACAGUCUGAGCACUGAUGGAAGGAUUGUGCGUUCCUCGUGUAACUUGAGCAGUUGUUUCCAUCCUGUACCUGUCCCGCAGGUGUGAUAUUCGGAUAUACCGAUCCUGUGCAGGUGUUAUUACACGUGGUCUGCCACUGCGAGGACGAUCAGCUGUCCGUCCUGUCUCACUGUAGCGCUGUUUUAGGCGUCUCACAAUCAAAUUUAUUGCCCUGGCCACAUCUGCAGUCCUCAUGCCUCCUUGCAGCAUGCCUAAGGUACGUUCUCGCAGAUGAGCAGGCACCCUGGGCAUCUUCCUUUUGGUGUUUUUCAGAGUCAGUAGAAAGGCCUCUUUAGUGUCCUAAGCUUUUAGAACUGUGACCUUAAUUGCCUACCGUCUGUAAGCUGUUAGUAUUUUAACAACCG